CAAUAGCGUAUAUUAAAGUUGUUGCGGUAAAAAAGCUCGUAGUUGGAUUUCUGUUGAGAGCGACCGGUCCAUACCAUGUAUGCGUAUCUGGCUUGCUCUCGGCAUCCUCUCGAUAGACGUUGCUGCGCUUGAUUGCGUGGCGCGGAUCUCGGGACUUUUACUUUGAGGAAAUUAGAGUGUUCACGGCAGGCUUUCGCCAGAAUACAUUAGCAUGGAAUAAUACUAUAGGAUCUUGGUUCUAUUUUGUUGGUUUCUAGAAUUGAGAUAAUGAUUAAUAGGGACAAUUGGGGGCAUUCGUAUCAACACGUCAGAGGUGGAAUUCUUGGAUUGUGUUGCGACGAACUACUGCGAAAGCAUUUGCCAAGGAUGUUUNCAUUGA
RNAcentral lists this ribosomal RNA (379 nucleotides) under uncultured eukaryote. RNAcentral's name for it is "partial 18S ribosomal RNA". It matches the Rfam family "Eukaryotic small subunit ribosomal RNA", at positions 592 to 976 of the family's 1831-position model. The record is from RNAcentral.